UACGAAGGGGGCUAGCGUUGCUCGGAAUCACUGGGCGUAAAGCGCACGUAGGCGGAUCUUUAAGUCAGGGGUGAAAUCCCGGAGCUCAACUCCGGAACUGCCUUUGAUACUGGAGAUCUUGAGUCCGGGAGGGGGUAGCGGAAUUCCCAGUGUAGCGGUGAAAUGCGUAGAUAUUGGGAGGAACACCAGUGGCGAAGGCGGCUACCUGGACCGGUUCUGACGCUGAUGCGCGAAAGCGUGGGUAGCAAACAGG
RNAcentral lists this ribosomal RNA (253 nucleotides) under uncultured bacterium. RNAcentral describes it as "partial 16S ribosomal RNA". It matches the Rfam family "Bacterial small subunit ribosomal RNA", at positions 524 to 776 of the family's 1533-position model. The record is from RNAcentral.